Molecule: ribosomal RNA, 814 nt
Filed under: uncultured bacterium
Lineage: Bacteria
Description: bacterial SSU rRNA
Rfam family: Bacterial small subunit ribosomal RNA
Source: RNAcentral
AGAGUUUGAUCAUGGCUCAGAGCGAACGUUAGCGGCAGGCCUAACACAUGCAAGUCGCGCGAGAAUAGGGUCUUCGGACCCUUAGUAAAGCGGCGGACGGGUGCGUAACACGUGGGUAAUGUGCCCUUCAGCGGGGGACAACAGUCCGAAAGGACUGCUAAUACCGCAUACGUCGGCGAGAUCUUCGGGUCUUGUCGGGAAAGGUGGCCUCUUCAUGAAAGCUACCACUGAAGGAGCAGCCCGCGGCCCAUCAGCUAGUUGGCGAGGUAAUGGCUCACCAAGGCGAAGACGGGUAGCUGGUCUGAGAGGAUGAUCAGCCACACUGGAACUGAGACACGGUCCAGACUCCUACGGGAGGCAGCAGUGGGGAAUAUUGGGCAAUGGGCGCAAGCCUGACCCAGCCAUGCCGCGUGAGUGAUGAAGGCCUUCGGGUCGUAAAGCUCUGUGGGGAGGGACGAAACCGCUCGGCGAUAAUACCGCCGGGUCUUGACGGUACCUCCUUAGCAAGCACCGGCUAACUCCGUGCCAGCAGCCGCGGUAAUACGGAGGGUGCAAACGUUGCUCGGAAUCAUUGGGCGUAAAGCGCACGUAGGCGGCCCGCUAAGUCGGAUGUGAAAUCCCUCGGCUCAACCGAGGACGUGCAUUCGAUACUGGCAGGCUUGAAUAUGGAAGAGGGUCGCGGAAUUCCCGGUGUAGAGGUGAAAUUCGUAGAUAUCGGGAGGAACACCAGUGGCGAAGGCGGCGACCUGGGCCAAUAUUGACGCUGAGGUGCGAAAGCAUGGGGAGCAAACAGGAUUAGAUACCCUAGUAGUCC